GGGAAACCGAGGUUAAUACCGGAUACUCCAUAUUUGUCGCAUGGCGAAUAUGGGAAAGCUCCGGCGGCAAAGGAUGGGCCCGCGGCCUGUUAGCUAGUUGGUGGGGUAGUGGCCUACCAAGGCAAUGAUGGGUAGCCGGGUUGAGAGACCGACCGGCCAGAUUGGGACUGAGACACGGCCCAGACUCCUACGGGAGGCAGCAGAA
This 205-nucleotide ribosomal RNA is filed under the name uncultured Atopobium sp. RNAcentral describes it as "partial 16S ribosomal RNA". It matches the Rfam family "Bacterial small subunit ribosomal RNA", at positions 151 to 354 of the family's 1533-position model. Lineage: Bacteria; Bacillati; Actinomycetota; Coriobacteriia; Coriobacteriales; Atopobiaceae. The record is from RNAcentral.